CAGCCGCCGCGGUAAUACGUAGGUCUCGAGCGUUGUCCGGAUUUAUUGGGCGUAAAGCGAGCGCAGGCGGUUAGAUAAGUCUGAAGUUAAAGGCUGUGGCUUAUCCAUAGUACGCUUUGGAAACUGUUUAACUUGAGUGCAAGAGGGGAGAGUGGAAUUCCAUGUGUAGCGGUGAAAUGCGUAGAUAUAUGGAGGAACACCGGUGGCGAAAGCGGCUCUCUGGCUUGUAACUGACGCUGAGGCUCGAAAGCGUGGGGAGCAAACAGGAUUAGAUACCCGCGUAGUCCCUGUCUCUUAUACA
This 301-nucleotide ribosomal RNA is filed under the name uncultured bacterium. Its description in RNAcentral is "partial 16S ribosomal RNA". It matches the Rfam family "Bacterial small subunit ribosomal RNA", at positions 509 to 808 of the family's 1533-position model. The record is from RNAcentral.